GCUUCUCUAGCUCGGUUGGCUAGAGCACCCGUUUAGUAAGCGGGAGAUCUUAAGUUUAACUCUCAGUGGAAGCA
This 74-nucleotide transfer RNA is filed under the name Physcomitrium patens. Its description in RNAcentral is "Physcomitrella patens tRNA". It matches the Rfam family "tRNA". From Rfam's summary of the family: Transfer RNA (tRNA) molecules are approximately 80 nucleotides in length. Their secondary structure includes four short double-helical elements and three loops (D, anti-codon, and T loops). Lineage: Eukaryota; Viridiplantae; Streptophyta; Bryopsida; Funariales; Funariaceae. The record is from Rfam by way of RNAcentral.